This 253-nucleotide ribosomal RNA is filed under the name uncultured bacterium. RNAcentral's name for it is "partial 16S ribosomal RNA". It matches the Rfam family "Bacterial small subunit ribosomal RNA", at positions 524 to 776 of the family's 1533-position model. The record is from RNAcentral.
UACGUAGGGUGCGAGCGUUGUUCGGAUUCACUGGGCGUAAAGGGUGCGUAGGCGGUCGGGUAAGUCUGACGUGAAAUCUCCAAGCUCAACUUGGAAAUGGCGUCGGAUACUAUUCGGCUUGAGGAAUGGAGGGGAGACUGGAAUUCUCGGUGUAGCAGUGAAAUGCGUAGAUAUCGAGAGGAACACCAGUGGCGAAGGCGAGUCUCUGGACAUUUCCUGACGCUGAGGCACGAAAGCCAGGGGAGCAAACGGG